Molecule: long non-coding RNA, 1249 nt
Filed under: Haliotis rufescens (red abalone)
Lineage: Eukaryota; Metazoa; Mollusca; Gastropoda; Lepetellida; Haliotidae
Description: uncharacterized LOC124128695, transcript variant X1
Source: RNAcentral
UAUGUAGCCUGAAUAAAUACAACAAGAAACAUUACUGAAAUACAACUCAUUGCUAAUACAUGGAAAUAACUUGCUUGCAUUGGGGACAUUUACGUGUAUCAGAACACUGGCAUUCUGAUGGCUAAUUUUAGCUGGAUCUUUAAUGGGUGCUCUGGAACAUAUACGGUCUAUUUGCUGAACGCCUGCGUUCUCUCCUAGAACGCGUGUGUUCUGCUGUGUUCUAUAAUGUUAUAUGCGAGAACACGUGUUCCAUUAAUAGAACAUCGGUGUUCUGUUUUUCUAACAAGCAUUCAAAGCUGUCCAUGCUCUGUGAUUCACAUCCGUUAUGUGAGAAACUGGCGUGACGUCGCAUGUAUUUGGCGCUACAAUUUCCUAUGAUCUGAGGUGUGUCUGUGGUUCUAUAUGAAUCGCCUGAAAGUGCGAAGCGGGCUACAUGCAACAAAUCUCUGAACAUCUAAAUUUGGGAUCCGAGGGCAUGAUCAGCAAGCAUCGACAAUGCAUCGAAAUCAGCAGAGAGUAGUGGUGCAUUGCAGAUAAUCAGUACCAUCCAUGGAAACUAUUGCACAGGGCACACGUCUACACAAAGGAGGAAAAGACACAAGGUUUUGCAGAUCAAAUAAGAAGGAUGUUGGGGAGUCAUAUUUGACAUGAAGUUUCCUGAAGCCUGCGAUGGUCAUGUCGCUGUUACGAACAUCGUCCUUUGGGGAUAUUUACCCACAAGAAACAUCUGCGAAGUACAUGCGCUUCGUGAAAGACUUGAGUAUGGAAGUAUGCUUCAAUUUGCUACACGACAGUUUGUAAUGUUUCAUGAAGAACUCUGACUCAUAAGUGACUUGAAUAUCCAUGAUCAUCCCAAACAAAUAUAAUAAAGAAUUCAUGGUUGCAGUUCAGAAUUUCGUCCGUGUGAUUUUAUGCCAGAGAAUAUGCAUGGGUGUAUGGUGUAAAUUCUUACACCUUGAAAAACAUCGGGUAAAUUGUAUUCGACACACACGAUGAGUUGUCGUUUCAGUAAUGUGGAAGUACGUGUCCGAGAACGUGUAGUGUUCUGAAUCUCGGUCCAGAACACUUUACAGGCGUUCUAAAAGCGUUACAUCGUCAGAACACGUUGAAGCGUUCUAAAUAUGUUUGUAGAACACUCCUGUUCUGGGUCGAGAACAUCAACGUUCAGAAUAUUUUCAGAACACAUGGACGCGUUCUAAAAGUGUUACAUCCAUGUGUUCUGUCUAGUGUUCAGAAGUGGAACACUUGG